Molecule: ribosomal RNA, 250 nt
Filed under: uncultured bacterium
Lineage: Bacteria
Description: partial 16S ribosomal RNA
Rfam family: Bacterial small subunit ribosomal RNA
Source: RNAcentral
UCCUUCUUUUUCAAUCGUUAAUCGGAAUUACUGGGCGUAAAGCGCACGUAGGCUGUAGUGUAAGUCAGGGGUGAAAUCCCACGGCUCAACCGUGGAACUGCCUUUGAUACUGCACAACUUGAAUCCGGGAGAGGGUGGCGGAAUUCCAGGUGUAGGAGUGAAAUCCGUAGAUAUCUGGAGGAACAUCAGUGGCGAAGGCGGCCACCUGGACCGGUAUUGACGCUGAGGUGCGAAAGCGUGGGGAGCAAAC